This 63-nucleotide transfer RNA is filed under the name Ictidomys tridecemlineatus (thirteen-lined ground squirrel). RNAcentral's name for it is "Spermophilus tridecemlineatus (thirteen-lined ground squirrel) tRNA". It matches the Rfam family "tRNA", at positions 5 to 66 of the family's 71-position model. Rfam says of the family: Transfer RNA (tRNA) molecules are approximately 80 nucleotides in length. Their secondary structure includes four short double-helical elements and three loops (D, anti-codon, and T loops). The record is from Rfam by way of RNAcentral. Lineage: Eukaryota; Metazoa; Chordata; Mammalia; Rodentia; Sciuridae.
ACAUAGCUCUGUGGUAGAGUGCUUGCCUAGCAAGUGUGAAGCCCUGGGUUCUAUUCCCAGUGU